CAUGUUUCCUGUGUUGUUCCAGGUUAUGGCAUCACUGAGGCUUCCCCGAUUGUGCUGUCCAGAUAAGGAUGCCGGCACUGAGCUGUUGAUGGAUUCUACCCUCUAUCAUGCUUUAUGUGGCUGCAGCGCUCUCCUGGGACUAUUAAGUUUGACCAUCUGCUGCCGUUGCAGAAAUAAAAGAAAGAGACGAACUGUGAGGAUGGGUGGGAGAGUUCUCUUGGCCAGUGCUUUGGUCACUGCAGGUAUACUCUUACAUUCAGUCUUGUCACUCAGCGUUCCUGAUUUCCUGUCCAGUCAGAGAUAUGGGCUGUCUCACAUACUCUGUGUUGUCAUCUCAACCUGGAUUCAUUAUUUUUGUUGCGUGCUAUUUUGGGCAUUUUUCUGCUACUCCCUGGAGAUCGAUCAGCUGCUAAGACCAAACCCAUCGGAGAGGUAAUUCGGUCUGGUGUCUGAGGUAUUAGGUUGCAAAAACCAGUCAAAGCAUUGUGCAGAUAUUUUUGUCUUCACCUAAAGGACAGUAUAUCUUGUUUCAUAGUAUCUGAUAUGACAAUAG
Long non-coding RNA from Pseudophryne corroboree (corroboree frog), 553 nucleotides. RefSeq lists it as uncharacterized. The record is from RefSeq and is a predicted model, not a curated record. NCBI's taxonomy places the organism in Eukaryota, Metazoa, Chordata, Amphibia, Anura, Myobatrachidae. The transcript has 3 exons.